CCUACGGGUGGCAGCAGUGGGGAAUAUUGGACAAUGGGGGGAACCCUGAUCCAGCCAUGCCGCGUGUGUGAAGAAGGCCCUCGGGUUGUAAAGCACUUUCAGUGAGGAAGAACGCCUGGUGGUUAAUACCCAUCAGGAAAGACAUCACUCACAGAAGAAGCACCGGCUAACUCCGUGCCAGCAGCCGCGGUAAUACGGAGGGUGCGAGCGUUAAUCGGAAUUACUGGGCGUAAAGCGCGCGUAGGUGGCUUGAUAAGCCGGUUGUGAAAGCCCCGGGCUCGACCUGGGAACGGCAUCCGGAACUGUCAAGCUAGAGUGCAGGAGAGGAAGGUAGAAUUCCCGGUGUAGCGGUGAAAUGCGUAGAGAUCGGGAGGAAUACCAGUGGCGAAGGCGGCCUUCUGGACUGACACUGACACUGAGGUGCGAAAGCGUGGGUAGCAAACAGGAUUAGAUACCCGAGUAGUC
Molecule: ribosomal RNA, 465 nt
Filed under: Vreelandella stevensii
Lineage: Bacteria; Pseudomonadati; Pseudomonadota; Gammaproteobacteria; Oceanospirillales; Halomonadaceae
Description: partial 16S ribosomal RNA
Rfam family: Bacterial small subunit ribosomal RNA
Source: RNAcentral